Capsicum annuum is the source of this 1107-nucleotide long non-coding RNA. RefSeq lists it as uncharacterized. The record is from RefSeq and is a predicted model, not a curated record. The transcript has 2 exons. NCBI's taxonomy places the organism in Eukaryota, Viridiplantae, Streptophyta, Magnoliopsida, Solanales, Solanaceae.
CACGAAAUAGAAAGGGACACAAUACAGAUCCAUUCAGCAGAUAUUUUUUUCGCAGAAAUAAAAUCUUACUGCCAAUUGGAAGAGGCAAUUCAUAUGGCCUUUACCAAAGGACACUUCUAAUUCAACUCCAAUAAUUGAAAAGAGAUUGAGCAAAAAUACAAAGUGUAAUUUUGUGGUGGGACCAAAGAGAGUUUGAUAAGUACUUUUGUUUUUUUUUAUAAAUAUAAGAAAGAAGGGUCUUUAUGGAGGUUCAUAGGACAUAAGUCAUCAGUCAAUAUUUACAUUUGUGUCCUCUGAUAUGAAUCUCCAGCUCAAUCAUCAAUAACAAUUUUUCUAACAAAAUCCUACAUGUAUCUUUUGGUUGGUGUAAACAGCCGGUUGUGGCUAACUAAGUUGCUUGGACUCGGGUGCAGAUACGGCUAUGGAUCUAGAGAUCGGAUCCUUCAUAGUCUCAAUUUAAAGAUUCGAGGAUAUGGAUCUAGGGAUGGAUACGGAUGCGAAAAUUUGGCAAAAAAUAAUUUAAAUAUCUAAAAAUAGAAUUAUAAAAUACAUAAAUCAUGAGAUAUUAUGUGGAAAACUUGAAGAGAAAGUAUUGUUCAAAAAGAAAAUUGUGAAAGGAGAUAAAAAGAAAAGCAAUAACAUAGAAAUUUAUAUAUACAAGGUAUUGUAUUUUCUUUAAUAUCACCUUAGCUUUUUUUUUAAUUACAGAAUUUGUUAAAUUUGUCUGGACUUUUCAAGUCGAUUUUAGUCAAAGUAUUCAAAAUUGGUUGAGCAGAUUAGGUACGGAUCCCACACCCAUACUCAUGUUGUGUCGACUCGGAUGCAGUACCGAAAGUGAAGAGUCCGAUUAACUUAGGAUGCUAACUAUUUACCAUAUCACAAUCUGUGGAAUCAGUGUUGUGGUCAUCUUCAACAUUUGUUCAUAAUACCUGAUUGUUAUUUUUCUGCACAUUCAGUGUGUUGAGUUCUUCCAAAAGUUUGGCUUGAAGAAAAAUUCCGCAUUUCUAGUAACAAUCAUUACUAGUAUUCCAGUAGAUGUUAUUCGGUCAGUGAACUGAUGUUUCUUUUAUGUUCAAGUACGUAAGUAAUAAGUUAUAUGAAAUUUAA